RNAcentral lists this transfer RNA (73 nucleotides) under Zea mays. It matches the Rfam family "tRNA". Rfam says of the family: Transfer RNA (tRNA) molecules are approximately 80 nucleotides in length. Their secondary structure includes four short double-helical elements and three loops (D, anti-codon, and T loops). Lineage: Eukaryota; Viridiplantae; Streptophyta; Magnoliopsida; Poales; Poaceae. The record is from Rfam by way of RNAcentral.
GCAUGUCUAGCUCAGUCGGUAGAGUGCAAUGCUUUUAACCUUGAUGUUGUGGGUUCAAGCCCCAUGGUGGACA